This 490-nucleotide ribosomal RNA is filed under the name uncultured bacterium. Its description in RNAcentral is "partial 16S ribosomal RNA". It matches the Rfam family "Bacterial small subunit ribosomal RNA", at positions 30 to 507 of the family's 1533-position model. The record is from RNAcentral.
AUUGAACGCUGGCGGCAUGCCUUACACAUGCAAGUCGAACGGCAGCAUGAUCUCGCUUGCUAGAUUGAUGGCGAGUGGCGCACGGGUGAGUAAUACAUCGGAACGUGCCCUGUAGUGGGGGAUAACUAGUCGAAAGAUUAGCUAAUACCGCAUACGACCUGAGGGUGAAAGUGGGGGACCGCAAGGCCUCAUGCUAUAGGAGCGGCCGAUGUCUGAUUAGCUAGUUGGUGGGGUAAAGGCCCACCAAGGCGACGAUCAGUAGCUGGUCUGAGAGGACGAUCAGCCACACUGGGACUGAGACACGGCCCAGACUCCUACGGGAGGCAGCAGUGGGGAAUUUUGGACAAUGGGGGCAACCCUGAUCCAGCAAUGCCGCGUGUGUGAAGAAGGCCUUCGGGUUGUAAAGCACUUUUGUCCGGAAAGAAAUCGCACUUACUAAUAUUAGGUGUGGAUGACGGUACCGGAAGAAUAAGGACCGGCUAACUACGUG